RNAcentral lists this ribosomal RNA (1603 nucleotides) under uncultured eukaryote. RNAcentral's name for it is "eukaryotic LSU rRNA". The stretch from base 232 to 1603 matches the Rfam family "Eukaryotic large subunit ribosomal RNA", at positions 1 to 1276 of the family's 3401-position model. The record is from RNAcentral.
AGAGUUUGAUCCUGGCUCAGGGUCGGUUAAACAUCCAUCGGACUGUGUUUGCGCACAGGCCGCACUGGGCUCUCGUUACAGGCUCUCGGGCCGCAACGGUGCCUCAAAGUAUACCGUGCGGAGUUUUGCAACGACUCAACUCUUGGACCUCACAGUCUGGGUUGGCCUGUUUGCUGGCUGUACGUGUAUGGUGCCGGGCUUCUGUCCGACGCGCACCACCCAACUCAUUUUCGACCUGAGAUUAGGUAAGAUUACCCGCUGAAUUUAAGCAUAUUAAUAAGCGGAGGAAAAGAAAACAACUGUGAUUCCCUUAGUAAUGGCGAAUGAAACGGGAACAGCCCAUCGCGUAACUGCAGGUCAUCUUGGCCUCGCGGAAUGUCGCGUUCGGGAGAGUCUCAUCGGGAGCUGGACGGCCAGUCAAAGUCCAACUUGACAGUGGCCACUGCCCAUAGAGGGUGAUAGGCCCGUAAGGCGGCCGUCCGUUUCCGCCGACUUUUCCCUAGAGUCGGGUUGCUUGGGAGUGCAGCCCAAAGUGCGAGGUAAACUCCUCGUAAGGCUAAAUAUGACCCCGAGACCGAUAGCAAACAAGUACCGUGAGGGAAAAUUGAAAAGAACUUUGAAGAGAGAGUUCAAUAGUACGUGAAACUGUGUGGUGGUAAACGGAGGGGUUCUCGAAGUUUCUGCGUGGAACUCAACCUUGGUGUCGGGCGGUCCUGGUGUAUCUGAUCAGCAAUGACUGUGCGCUUGGUUCGGCUUGGCUCCCGGGUGCAUUUUCCAAGCAGUUUACGGCAGGAACCGUUUGGCUCGGACCAAAGGCCUCGGGCGAAGUUGUAGGUAUUUUGCUUGCAGCCCCGGGUGUCCUGGCUCUGCGCUCGACGGGUACGUGAGAGGACUCGUAUAGCGAGCAACGCUCUGUUGCGGUUCUCAUCUCUCUGCCGAGUAGGUCGGCGGCCCCUCCGACCCGUCUUGAAACACGGACCAAGGAGUCUAACAUGUAUGCGAGCCAUUGGGUUGACUAAACCUAGGGGCGCAGUGAAAGCAAAGAGUAGCUUGUCUGCUCGAGGGACGAUCCGCAAGGCGCAGUCCCGUGACAUCCAAUCAACCUCGCAUUGUUGGGUGUACACAGAGUAUAAAUGUUGGGACCCGAAAGAUGGUGAGCUAUGCCUGGCCAGGUUGAAGUCAGGGGAAACCCUGAUGGAGGACCGUAGCGAUUCUGACGUGCAAAUCGAUCGUCGGAGCUGGGUAUAGGGGCGAAAGACUAAUCGAACCAUCUAGUAGCUGGUUCCUGCCGAAGUUUCCCUCAGGAUAGCUGGUGCUCGUAAACGAGUUUCAUCCGGUAAAGCGAAUGAUUAGAAGCAUUGGGGGCGAAACGCCCUCAACUUAUUCUCAAACUUUAAAUGGGUGAGAAGUCCGUCUUGCUUGAGUGAAGUCGGACACUGAAUCGGAGUGCCAAGUGGGCCAUUUUUGGUAAGCAGAACUGGCGCUGUGGGAUGAACCAAACGCGGGGUUAAAGUGCCAAAGUAGAAGCUCAUCAGAUCCCACGAAAGGUGUUGGUUGCUUAAGACAGCAGGACGGUGGCCAUGGAAGUCGUAACAAGGUAACC